Pelobates cultripes (western spadefoot toad) is the source of this 268-nucleotide non-coding RNA. NCBI's taxonomy places the organism in Eukaryota, Metazoa, Chordata, Amphibia, Anura, Pelobatidae. The record is from the annotation of a GenBank genome assembly.
GCCCUGUGCGUCAACUCGGUAACCAAGGAAAUCCACGCUGCUUUCACCAAAAACACACUUUUCUUUUUUAAGUUUUAGACUAGCAUCAAGAAAACAUUGUAAAACAAGUUGUAGCUGUGCAGCCAAUGACUCUAUAGAAUCUGCUCCAAUAAGAACGUCAUCAAAAUAAGGCACUACACCUAGAAGUCCAGAUAAGAGGUCCUCCAUUAAAUUCUGGAAUAUGCCAGGAGCAAUGGAAACUCCAAACUGCAAACGUCUUGGAAAGCUC